AGAUCAUAAAUAAAACUGAAAUACCUGAACCAAACUCAACUGGGGAAGAAUGAACUUCAACACAUGAGUAUCAACAUUACAUUACCUAUUACCGGUUACUAGGUAGGAAGAUAAUGUAUUCUGUUAGAGGGACAUCCGUUACCGAUUAGGGUAAACAUAUCAAGGAUGACUCCCUGAGGAAAGGGAGGUAUGUUUGUUAUCGGUUACUGGGUAAGAACAACCUGCUGCGGAAAAUAUCAAAUAGGAUUUAAAAAUAUCGGUUACUGGGCAGAAG
RNAcentral lists this long non-coding RNA (274 nucleotides) under Lathyrus oleraceus (garden pea). RNAcentral's name for it is "Pisum sativum (pea) long non-coding RNA (PSAT_LNC007320)". The record is from RNAcentral. Lineage: Eukaryota; Viridiplantae; Streptophyta; Magnoliopsida; Fabales; Fabaceae.